GCACCGACCCCGUCAUCCCCCCCGCGGCCCAAAUCGCACCGAGAACCCGCGUGCUCUCGCCGCCUCCUCCUCCCUCCCCCCGCGGCGUCGCCGAACGAAACCCUAGCUCGGUCGCGCCCGCCCGCGCCGUCGUCUCGCCGGAGAGCGGAGAGGGCGGAGAGGGAGAGGGAGCGGGAGGCGGGGAUGGGGAAGAAGAAGAAGCGGGUGGAGAAGGUGUUCUGCUACUACUGCGACCGGGAGUUCGACGACGAGAAGAUCCUGGUGCAGCACCAGAAGGCCAAGCACUUCAAGUGCCACGUCUGCCACAAGAAGCUCUCCACCGCCGGCGGCAUGGCCAUCCACGUCCUCCAGGUCCACAAGGAGUCCGUCACCAAGGUCCCGAAUGCCAAGCCCGAGAGGGAUUCCACCGAGAUCGAGAUCUUCGGCAUGCAGGGGAUCCCCUCCGACGUGCUCGCCGCCCACUAUGGGGAAGAGGAAGAUCCUUCGUCGAAGGUGGCCAAAGUAGAAGUGCCGACAAUAAGACCUCCUAUUAUGCCUAAUUAUCCGCUAGGCAUGCCUUUUCCUCCUCGGCCUUAUGGUGCAGCCCGCCCUAUGUAUAAUCCUGCAAUGAUGGUCCGACCUCCGAUUUGGCCUCUUCAGCAGCCGCAACCUUGGUUUGCUCAACAACCACCGGUUUCAGUUCCCCCAAUGAUGGCUGGGCAAGCACCACAGCAACCACUAUUCCCCAUUCAAAACAUGCCCAAUCCUAUGAUGACAUCAGCACCUGCUAAUUUACUUCAGACAUCAUACGCUAUGCCCACCACAGGGGUUCCUUCACCUGUUGCCCCUCAGGCUUCCCAGCCUUUGUUUCCCGUUAACACCACUGGCAAUGGAGCAGCAAAUUCGUCAUUCAGCUCGUCAAUUUCACCUGCAACUAUUGCAGCAAAUUCUCCAGCAUCAGUUGGUACUGCAGGAUAUGGCUAUGUAGCUAAUAACCCUGGUACAGGAGGGCCAGCAAUUGGACAGCCACCUGCAGCUGCCACUAAUAGUAAAACGUCUGCUACUCAACCAGCUACGAGUGAGGUCUAUCUGGUGUGGGAUGAUGAAGCAAUGUCAAUGGAGGAAAGAAGGUUGGCGCUGCCCAUGUACCAGGUGCAUGACGAAACUAGCCAGGUAAGUUCUGGCUUUUUAUGUUUCCAUUACCAGUUAUCUCUCAAAAAUCAUUGGAGUGUGGCACCCGUAGAGCAAGUUAUACGAGCUUUGAAAGAGAGAAAUACAUGUUGAGUUUACAUGGAAAUAUGAGAUGUAUUCCUUCAGUAGUUGGCUUGUUACAUACUUCCAAGUAUUUGGAAACGGAUGGUGUAUGUGAGAUAGUUCCUUAUUAUACUACCCUUUUACAUAUUCAUGACAUCUACUUGGUGUUUAUUUGUUUGAUCAUCUAUAUCCUGCUGAUUUCGCGCACAUCAGGAGUUCCAAGUAGGUAUUUACAUACAUUGUUCUUCCUGCUAGUAAGUUUUUUUACAAUCUGACAAAUCUCAUGGUGCUAAUGACUUGAGGGUUAUCGGCCAAGCCCUGGACAGUACGCAAACGUGUAUGUAUUAAUUUCAGUUUAAGCAUUAUACUUAUAUUUUUUUUACGAUUCACCACGUGCGGCUGAGCUUCUGCCAGUACUGUAGCAUUUAUAACUUAAUUUUGAUCGAGAAUGUGGUGAGAGUUUGGUUCCAGGUCAGCUUUCAUAUGGCCUGUGAGCCAUCAACUUUUGUUCAUAAAGAGGAAAUUCUCAUGCUCUGUUAUUUGUUCCCAAGUUGCAGAGGUCAAAUCUAAUACCACCUUUCUUUGUUUUGAAACUUUUGUGGACAGAUGAGCUCGGUUGAUGCAGCGUUCGAUCGAAGAAUAUCAGAUAUUACAUUUUCUAGACAAUUGACAUAAACAAGCUGCGCCUGGUGUUCAGUAAACAGCUUGAUGCGAUUCGCCAACUGGCUCACCCGUGCAUCCAUAGGAGGGACGCCGUGCAAUCGGUGAUCCUGGAACCCCCCUGUUGUUGAUCUACUUAGUUAGUGACUGGAGGUACCGCAGUGGAAAGAUUGUGUUGGUCUGACUUGGAGAUUUUGAUUCAACAUCGUUUGUCCUGUCUUUUCGUACCGAGAGUGGAAACCUGUUAGACCUAGAAGUCAUUUGUUCCGUUGUCGAUUGACUGACGAUAUGAGUAUCUUCAGCUCUGUAAACCUGAGGAUGAAAUUAGCAGUGUCUUUUCACUA
Non-coding RNA from Aegilops tauschii subsp. strangulata, 2237 nucleotides. The record is from RefSeq and is a predicted model, not a curated record. NCBI's taxonomy places the organism in Eukaryota, Viridiplantae, Streptophyta, Magnoliopsida, Poales, Poaceae.